UACGGGGGGAGCAAGCGUUGUUCGGAUUUACUGGGCGUAAAGAGCGUGUAGGCGGCCAAGCAGGUCCGCUGUGAAAACUCGAGGCUCAACCUCGAGACGUCGGUGGAAACCGUUUGGCUAGAGUCCGGAAGAGGAGAGUGGAAUUCCCGGUGUAGCGGUGAAAUGCGCAGAUAUCGGGAAGAACACCCGUGGCGAAGGCGGCUCUCUGGGACGGUACUGACGCUGAGACGCGAAAGCGUGGGGAGCGAACAGG
This 253-nucleotide ribosomal RNA is filed under the name uncultured bacterium. RNAcentral describes it as "partial 16S ribosomal RNA". It matches the Rfam family "Bacterial small subunit ribosomal RNA", at positions 524 to 776 of the family's 1533-position model. The record is from RNAcentral.